Molecule: small RNA, 305 nt
Filed under: Arabidopsis thaliana (thale cress)
Lineage: Eukaryota; Viridiplantae; Streptophyta; Magnoliopsida; Brassicales; Brassicaceae
Description: ATSL195050
Source: RNAcentral
AUAAACAAAAAUUAGAUAAAACGUACAUUUAAGAGAAUCUUGCAAAACCUGCCAUAUUCCCCUCAAAAUCUUACAAUCCCUAUCAUAUUCACAGUCAGCUUACAGAAUCUACCACAUUUAGCUACACGUGGAAAUUCGUGGACGAAAUUACCCUUAAGGUGGGUCAGUGCUCUGACUUAGAUGGCGACAGCUUCGUCCAGCGAAAAGAGGCAGCCCCUGUUCCGUAAUAAAUGUUUCCGUUUCCGAUUGGAUGUUAUGUGGAUUUAUUUUUUAAAAAUGGUAAUAUAGGGGUUAGUCACUUUAAU